UCCCUGUUACCAGGGCAGUCUAGCUAGAAAAAUACAACUAACUAUAGGGGUUGCGCUCGUUGAUGGACUUAACCAAACAUCUCACGACACGAGCUGACGACGGCCAUGCAUCACCUGUCACUGCGCUCACAAGGCACAGUCUCCUUUCGGAGACCUUCGCAGGAUGUCAAGCCUGGGUAAGGUUCUUCGCUUAUCAUCGAAUUAAACAACACGCUCCACCGCUUGUGCGGGUUCCCGUCAAUUCCUUUAUGUUUUAGUCUUGCGACCGUACUCCACAGGCGGGAUGCUUAACGCGUUAGCUUCGCCACUACCGGGGUCGAUACCGGUAACGGCAAAUGCGCACCGUUUACAGCCAAGACUAC
This 362-nucleotide unclassified non-coding RNA is filed under the name uncultured bacterium. RNAcentral's name for it is "contains 16S-23S intergenic spacer region". The record is from RNAcentral.